GUCCCUGUAGCACGAUGUAUAGUGCGUUGGACUUUUAAUCCCAAAGUCGUGGUUUCGAAUCCCACCUGGAACA
Trichonephila inaurata madagascariensis is the source of this 73-nucleotide non-coding RNA. NCBI's taxonomy places the organism in Eukaryota, Metazoa, Arthropoda, Arachnida, Araneae, Nephilidae. The record is from the annotation of a GenBank genome assembly.